UACGUAGGGUGCGAGCGUUGUCCGGAAUUACUGGGCGUAAAGAGCUCGUAGGUGGUUUGUCGCGUUGUUCGUGAAAACUCACAACUCAAUUGUGGGCGUGCGGGCGAUACGGGCAGACUGGAGUACUGCAGGGGAGACUGGAAUUCCUGGUGUAGCGGUGGAAUGCGCAGAUAUCAGGAGGAACACCGGUGGCGAAGGCGGGUCUCUGGGCAGAAACUGACGCUGAGACACGAAGGCCAGGGGAGCAAACGGG
RNAcentral lists this ribosomal RNA (253 nucleotides) under uncultured bacterium. RNAcentral describes it as "partial 16S ribosomal RNA". It matches the Rfam family "Bacterial small subunit ribosomal RNA", at positions 524 to 776 of the family's 1533-position model. The record is from RNAcentral.